CUGGGUUAGAUACCCCACUAUGCUUAGCCCUAAACAUAGACGAUAUUAAUACAAUAUUGUUCGCCAGAGAACUACAAGCGAAAAGCUAAAAACUCCAAGGACUUGGCGGUGCUUCAAAUCAACCUAGAGGAGCCUGUCCUAUAAUCGAUACCCCACGUUUCACCUUACCACCCUUAGCCGCUCAGCCUAUAUACCGCCGUCGUCAGCCUACCUUAUGAAAGCAUAAAAGUAAGCAAAAAAGUUACUAACUAGUACGUCAGGUCAAGGUGUAGCAAACAGGGUGGCAGAGAUGGGCUACAUUUUUUCAAAGGAAAAACACGAACAGAACGUUGAAACACAUACUUAAAGGCGGAUUUAGUAGUAAAAUAGGCAAGAAAACCUAUUUUAAACCUGCUCUGAAGCGCGCACACACCGCC
Molecule: ribosomal RNA, 416 nt
Filed under: Pinoyscincus abdictus aquilonius
Lineage: Eukaryota; Metazoa; Chordata; Lepidosauria; Squamata; Scincidae
Description: partial 12S ribosomal RNA
Rfam family: Bacterial small subunit ribosomal RNA
Source: RNAcentral